This 755-nucleotide long non-coding RNA is filed under the name Ficedula albicollis (Collared flycatcher). Its description in RNAcentral is "lncRNA (ENSFALG00000026121.1)". The record is from RNAcentral. Lineage: Eukaryota; Metazoa; Chordata; Aves; Passeriformes; Muscicapidae.
GAAAUAUCUGGGAGCAGUGGAGAAUGUGGUGACAGCGUUUACGUAUGUGUCCCUUACUAUUGAUGUCCAAAGGUGACCAGAUUACUCACCCCUCUGCAGAUGAGCUCCAGACAUUACAUUCCAACAGGAGCCCGGAACCUGAUUUUCUUGACUUCCACUGGAUCACUGAUGGGCUCCCGGCACCUCAGGCAAUCAGAUUUCAGCAGCACUGUCUCAAAACCACAGUGAGGACAAACUCAGCUGUCAGAGUGCCAUGGCCACUUCCAUAUUUCCCAGGAGGGGUAACCUCAUCACAUCCCCAGGGAGCUGCCCUGGGAAUUCUCUGUUUGAAACAGAGCCCUGAAGUGCAAUCCCUUGGCCAUGCCAGCUUCAGGAGAAGCCAGCCUGCUCUGAUUGGAGGAGAAAUGAAAAAAAAAACUGAAACCAAAUGCAAAUUGCAAAACAUGGCAAGUUUUCCAGGAUGGAACGAGCCCAGAUGGAUUCUCCCAUUCCCUUUGCCAGAAGCAGAAGUGACUCAGAGCUUAUGUGUUUCAUGGUGGAGGCUCAGCACCCUGCAACUGCCCCAGGAACAAGCCAGGGACAAGAGAGUGAAGGCAGGUUCAAAAAUCAGACCCUUAAAGUUACAGGGGAGCAAAGAACAGACCCCAGACAUCCAAGCUGAAGGAUGUGUACAAAGCUUGUUGCUCGUUAGGAAUGUCUGCGUGUUUUUCCCAGAAAUUUUAUCUCCUUGUUUCCUUAGUAACCCCUCUUGGUAG